UACGGAGGAUGCAAGCGUUAUCCGGAAUGAUUGGGCGUAAAGCGUCCGCAGGUGGCUGUGUAAGUCUGCUGUCAAAGAGCGAAGCUCAACUUCGUAAAGGCAGUGGAAACUACACGGCUAGAGUGCGUUCGGGGCAGAGGGAAUUCCUGGUGUAGCGGUGGAAUGCGUAGAGAUCCGGAGGAACACCAGUGGCGAAGGCGGCAUCCUGGACCGGUAUUGACGCUGAUGCGCGAAAGCCAGGGGAGCAAACGGG
This 253-nucleotide ribosomal RNA is filed under the name uncultured bacterium. RNAcentral's name for it is "partial 16S ribosomal RNA". It matches the Rfam family "Bacterial small subunit ribosomal RNA", at positions 524 to 776 of the family's 1533-position model. The record is from RNAcentral.